Molecule: ribosomal RNA, 348 nt
Filed under: uncultured bacterium
Lineage: Bacteria
Description: bacterial SSU rRNA
Rfam family: Bacterial small subunit ribosomal RNA
Source: RNAcentral
AGAGUUUGAUCCUGGCUCAGGACGAACGCUGGCGGCGCGCCUAACACAUGCAAGUCGAACGAGAGAGAAGGAGCUUGCUUCUUCGAUCGAGUGGCGAACGGGUGAGUAACGCGUGAGGAACCUGCCUCAAAGAGGGGGACAACAGUUGGAAACGACUGCUAAUACCGCAUAAGCCCACGGGUCGGCAUCGACCUGAGGGAAAAGGAGUGAUCCACUUUGAGAUGGCCUCGCGUCCGAUUAGCUAGUUGGUGAGGUAACGGCCCACCAAGGCGACGAUCGGUAGCCGGACUGAGAGGUUGAACCGGCCACAUUGGGACUGAGACACGGCCCAGACUCCGUACGGGAGCA